ACAAAAUAUCUUGCUAGGAGGCCCAUCCCCCUGGGCCUCUUAUAGUGUCCUAUGCUAGAGCUAACUGUGACCCCGAACCAUUGCCUGGCCUCUGUGUCAUUAGGCUGCUGGAACUGAAGUGUGUUGCACAGCA
This 133-nucleotide small nucleolar RNA is filed under the name Marmota monax (woodchuck). RNAcentral's name for it is "Small nucleolar RNA SNORA42/SNORA80 family". It matches the Rfam family "Small nucleolar RNA SNORA42/SNORA80 family". From Rfam's summary of the family: The members of this family belong to the H/ACA class of snoRNAs that guide the sites of modification of uridines to pseudouridines. The record is from Rfam by way of RNAcentral. Lineage: Eukaryota; Metazoa; Chordata; Mammalia; Rodentia; Sciuridae.